GGGAAUGUGGCUUAGUGGUAGAGUGCUUGCCUAGCAUGCAUGAGGUCCUGGGUCCAAAUCCUGAGCACCA
This 70-nucleotide transfer RNA is filed under the name Dipodomys ordii (Ord's kangaroo rat). It matches the Rfam family "tRNA". From Rfam's summary of the family: Transfer RNA (tRNA) molecules are approximately 80 nucleotides in length. Their secondary structure includes four short double-helical elements and three loops (D, anti-codon, and T loops). Further hydrogen bonds mediate the characteristic L-shaped molecular structure. tRNAs have two regions of fundamental functional importance: the anti-codon, which is responsible for specific mRNA codon recognition, and the 3' end, to which the tRNAs corresponding amino acid is attached (by aminoacyl-tRNA synthetases). tRNAs cope with the degeneracy of the genetic code in two manners: having more than one tRNA (with a specific anti-codon) for a particular amino acid; and 'wobble' base-pairing, i.e. permitting non-standard base-pairing at the 3rd anti-codon position. Lineage: Eukaryota; Metazoa; Chordata; Mammalia; Rodentia; Heteromyidae. The record is from Rfam by way of RNAcentral.